RNAcentral lists this ribosomal RNA (503 nucleotides) under uncultured bacterium. RNAcentral describes it as "partial 16S ribosomal RNA". It matches the Rfam family "Bacterial small subunit ribosomal RNA", at positions 30 to 523 of the family's 1533-position model. The record is from RNAcentral.
AUUGAACGCUGGCGGCAGGCUUAACACAUGCAAGUCGAGCGGAGUGAUGGUGCUUGCACUAUCACUUAGCGGCGGACGGGUGAGUAAUGCUUAGGAAUCUGCCUAUUAGUGGGGGACAACAUCUCGAAAGGGAUGCUAAUACCGCAUACGUCCUACGGGAGAAGGCAGGGGAUCACUUGUGACCUUGCGCUAAUAGAUGAGCCUAAGUCGGAUUAGCUAGUUGGUGGGGUAAAGGCCCACCAAGGCGACGAUCUGUAGCGGGUCUGAGAGGAUGAUCCGCCACACUGGGACUGAGACACGGCCCAGACUCCUACGGGAGGCAGCAGUGGGGAAUAUUGGACAAUGGGGGGAACCCUGAUCCAGCCAUGCCGCGUGUGUGAAGAAGGCCUUAUGGUUGUAAAGCACUUUAAGCGAGGAGGAGGCUCUUUUGGUUAAUACCCAAGAUGAGUGGACGUUACUCGCAGAAUAAGCACCGGCUAACUCUGUGCCAGCCGCCGCAGUAA